Molecule: ribosomal RNA, 253 nt
Filed under: uncultured bacterium
Lineage: Bacteria
Description: partial 16S ribosomal RNA
Rfam family: Bacterial small subunit ribosomal RNA
Source: RNAcentral
UACGUAGGGCGCAAGCGUUGUCCGGAAUUAUUGGGCGUAAAGAGCUCGUAGGCGGUUUGUCGCGUCUGCUGUGAAAACCUAAGGCUCAACCUUGGGCUUGCAGUGGGUACGGGCAGACUAGAGUGCGGUAGGGGUGACUGGAAUUCCUGGUGUAGCGGUGAAAUGCGCAGAUAUCAGGAGGAACACCGAUGGCGAAGGCAGGUCUCUGGGCAUUAACUGACGCUGAGGAGCGAAAGCAUGGGGAGCGAACAGG